CAAUAGCGUAUAUUAAAGUUGUUGCAGUUAAAAAGCUCGUAGUUGGAGUUCAGAGUGAGCUCAGCCGGUCGGGAUUAUGUCUCAGAACUGGUUGACUCUCUCUUGUUUGUGGAUCCUGUUCGGAGUUAACUCGUCGGAUGUGGAGUCCACAUCGUUUACCUUGAAAAAAUUAGAGUGUUCAAAGCAGGCGUUUGCUUGAAUAUAUUAGCAUGGAAUAAUGGAAUAGGACGCUGGUUCUAUUUUGUUGGUUUCUAGGACAUACGCAAUGAUUAAUAGGGACAAUUGGGGGCAUUCGUAUUAACGCGUCAGAGGUGGAAUUCUUAGAUUGCGUUACGACGAACUACUGCGAAAGCAUUUGCCAAGGAUGUUUUCAUUGAUCAAGAACGAAAGUAUGGGAUCGAAGACGAUUAGAUACCAU
RNAcentral lists this ribosomal RNA (418 nucleotides) under uncultured eukaryote. Its description in RNAcentral is "bacterial SSU rRNA". It matches the Rfam family "Eukaryotic small subunit ribosomal RNA", at positions 592 to 1018 of the family's 1831-position model. The record is from RNAcentral.